This 223-nucleotide ribosomal RNA is filed under the name uncultured prokaryote. RNAcentral describes it as "partial 16S ribosomal RNA". It matches the Rfam family "Bacterial small subunit ribosomal RNA", at positions 524 to 746 of the family's 1533-position model. The record is from RNAcentral.
UACGGAGGAUCCAAGCGUUAUCCGGAUUUAUUGGGUUUAAAGGGUGCGUAGGCGGCGCGGUAAGUCGGGUGUGAAAUCUUGGAGCUUAACUCCGAAACUGCAUUCGAUACUGCCGUGCUUGAGGACUGGAGAGGAGACUGGAAUUUACGGUGUAGCGGUGAAAUGCGUAGAUAUCGUAAGGAAGACCAGUGGCGAAGGCGGGUCUCUGGACAGUUCCUGACGC